This 291-nucleotide ribosomal RNA is filed under the name Diplodia seriata. Its description in RNAcentral is "partial beta-tubulin". The record is from RNAcentral. Lineage: Eukaryota; Fungi; Ascomycota; Dothideomycetes; Botryosphaeriales; Botryosphaeriaceae.
GGUAACCAAAUCGGUGCUGCUUUCUGGCAGACUAUCUCUGGCGAGCACGGCCUGGACGGCUCCGGCGUCUACAAUGGCACCUCCGACCUCCAGCUGGAGCGCAUGAACGUCUACUUCAACGAGGCAUCCAACAAUAAGUACGUUCCUCGUGCUGUCCUCGUUGACCUCGAGCCCGGCACCAUGGAUGCCGUCCGCGCCGGCCCCUUCGGCCAGCUCUUCCGUCCCGACAACUUCGUUUUCGGCCAGUCUGGUGCCGGUAACAACUGGGCCAAGGGUCACUACACUGAGGGU